RNAcentral lists this ribosomal RNA (433 nucleotides) under uncultured bacterium. RNAcentral describes it as "partial 16S ribosomal RNA". It matches the Rfam family "Bacterial small subunit ribosomal RNA", at positions 29 to 507 of the family's 1533-position model. The record is from RNAcentral.
AACGAACGCUGGCGGCAUGCCUAACACAUGCAAGUCGAACGAGACCUUCGGGUCUAGUGGCGCACGGGUGCGUAACGCGUGGGAACCUGCCCUUAGGUUCGGAAUAACUCCCCGAAAGGGGUGCUAAUACCGGAUAAUGUCUUCGGACCAAAGAUUUAUUGCUUUUGGAUGGGCGCGCGUUGGCUUAGCUAGUUGGUAGUGUAAAAGCCUACCAAGGCGACGAUCCAUAGCUGGUCUGAGAGGAUGAUCAGCCACACUGGGACUGAGACCCGGCCCAGACUCCUACGGAACGCAGGAGUGGGGAAUAUUGGACACUGGGCGAAAGCCUGAUACAGCAGUGCCGCGUGAGUGAUGAAGGCAUUAGGGUUGUAAAGCUCUUUUACACGGGAUGAUAAUGACAGUAACGGGAGAAUAAGCACCGGCUAACUCCGUG